Molecule: ribosomal RNA, 301 nt
Filed under: uncultured Methanosaeta sp.
Lineage: Archaea; Methanobacteriati; Methanobacteriota; Methanomicrobia; Methanotrichales; Methanotrichaceae
Description: bacterial SSU rRNA
Rfam family: Bacterial small subunit ribosomal RNA
Source: RNAcentral
CGCGAAGUCCUGGCCAUAGGCGCGUGUAAUAAGGGGGAGACGGGCGGUAUCCUGAUUUAUUUGGUUUAAAGGUGUGCUAGCCGGCUUUAUAAGUCAGGGGUGAAAGACGGCAGCUUAACUGUUGCAGUGCCUUUGAUACUGUAGAGCUUGAAUGUGGUUGAAGAUGGCGGAAUGCGACAAGUAGCGGUGAAAUGCAUAGAUAUGUCUCAGAACUCCGAUUGCGAAGGCAGCUGUCUAAGUCAUUAUUGACGCUGAUGCACGAAAGCGUGGGGAUCGAACAGGAUUAGAUACCCGAGUAGUC